RNAcentral lists this ribosomal RNA (501 nucleotides) under Betta splendens (Siamese fighting fish). RNAcentral's name for it is "partial 12S ribosomal RNA". It matches the Rfam family "Bacterial small subunit ribosomal RNA", at positions 803 to 1528 of the family's 1533-position model. Lineage: Eukaryota; Metazoa; Chordata; Actinopteri; Anabantiformes; Osphronemidae. The record is from RNAcentral.
UAAACAUUGAUAUCUUUUACAUCCAUUAUCCGCCCGGGAACUACGAGCAUUAGCUUAAAACCCAAAGGACCUGGCGGUGCUUAAGACCCCCCUAGAGGAGCCUGUUCUAGAACCGAUAAUCCCCGUUCAACCUCACCCUCUCUUGCUUAUUCAGCCUAUAUACCGCCGUCGUCAGCCCACCCUGUGAAGGAUUAAUAGUGAGCAAAAUUGGCAUAGCCUAAAACGUCAGGUCGAGGUGUAGCAUAUGGGAGGGGAAGAAAUGGGCUACAUUCUCUAACAAUAGAGCAUACGGAUAAUAUAUUGAAACAUAUAUUUUAAGGUGGAUUUAGUAGUAAGUAGGAAAUAGAGUGUCCUGCUGAACCCGGCCCUAAAGCAUGCACAUACCGCCCGUCACUCUCCCCUAGCCUAAUUAAAUCUUUAAAUAUUUUAAUAAAUUUUACCAGCAAAGAGGAGGCAAGUCGUAACAUGGUAAGUGUACCGGAAGGUGUACUUGGACAAACU